CAACCUGCCCUUCAGAGGGGGACGAACAGUUGGAAACGACUGCUAAUACCGCAUACGAUCUAACCUCGGCAUCGAGGAUAGAUGAAAGGUGGCCUCUAUUUAUAAGCUAUCACUGAAGGAGGGGAUUGCGUCUGAUUAGCUAGUUGGAGGGGUAACGGCCCACCAAGGCGAUGAUCAGUAGCCGGUCUGAGAGGAUGAACGGCCACAUUGGGACUGAGACACGGCCCAGACUCCUACGGGAGGCAGCAUG
This 250-nucleotide ribosomal RNA is filed under the name uncultured bacterium. RNAcentral's name for it is "partial 16S ribosomal RNA". It matches the Rfam family "Bacterial small subunit ribosomal RNA", at positions 122 to 353 of the family's 1533-position model. The record is from RNAcentral.